RNAcentral lists this ribosomal RNA (1580 nucleotides) under Prionodon pardicolor. RNAcentral's name for it is "16S ribosomal RNA". It matches the Rfam family "Bacterial large subunit ribosomal RNA". The record is from RNAcentral. Lineage: Eukaryota; Metazoa; Chordata; Mammalia; Carnivora; Viverridae.
GCUAAAACUAGCCCAAACAACUAUAAACUUAACUUACUCUUACCAAUAAAUCAAAACAUUUAGUUAAUAGUCUUAAAGUAUAGGAGAUAGAAAUUUGACUUGGCGCUAUAGAGAUAGUACCGCAAGGGAAAGAUGAAAGAAAUAUUAAAAGCACCACAUAGCAAAGAUUACUCCUUGUACCUUUUGCAUAAUGAGUCAGCCAGAACACCCUAGCAAAGAGAACUUAAGCUAGUCUCCCCGAAACCAGACGAGCUACCUGUGAACAAUCUGUCUAGGAUGAACUCAUCUAUGUUGCAAAAUAGUGAGAUGAUUUGCAGGUAGAGGUGAAAAGCCUAACGAGCCUGGUGAUAGCUGGUUACCCAGAAUAGAAUUUUAGUUCAACUUUAAACUUACCCGCAAACCUCCCUUAAAAUUUUAAUGUAAGUUUAAAAUAUAAUCUAAAAAGGUACAGCUUUUUAGAACUAGGAUACAGCCUUUUUUAGUGAGUAAGCAUAACUAUUAACCAUAGUUGGCCUAAAAGCAGCCAUCAAUUAAGAAAGCGUUCAAGCUCAACAAUCAAAAUAUCUUAAUACCAAAAAUAUGCAACCAACUCCUAACUGAAUACUGGGUUAAUCUAUUAUGAAAUAGAAGCAAUAAUGCUGACAUGAGUAACAAGAAAUAUUUCUCCUUGCAUAAGCUUAUAUCAGAACGGAUGACCACUGAUAGUUAACAACAAGAUAUGAAAAAUCUACCCAUAAACCUAAUAUCAAGUUAAUUGUUAAUCCAACACAGGUAUGCAACCAAGGAAAGAUUAAAAGAAGUAAAAGGAACUCGGCAAACAUAAGCCCCGCCUGUUUACCAAAAACAUCACCUCUAGCAUCUCUAGUAUUAGAGGCACUGCCUGCCCAGUGACAUUAGUUAAACGGCCGCGGUAUCCUGACCGUGCAAAGGUAGCAUAAUCACUUGUUCCCUAAAUAGGGACUCGUAUGAAUGGCCACACGAGGGCUUUACUGUCUCUUACUUCCAAUCCGUGAAAUUGACCUUCCCGUGAAGAGGCGGGGAUAUAAUAAUAAGACGAGAAGACCCUAUGGAGCUUUAAUUAACUGACCCAAAGAGAUUUCACCAAUACAACCGAUAGGAGCAACAAACCUCUACAUGGGCCAGCAAUUUAGGUUGGGGUGACCUCGGAGAAUAAAAAAACCUCCGAGUGAUUUUAAUCUAGACUAACUAGUCAAAAGUAUCACAUCACUUAUUGAUCCAAAAAACUUGAUCAACGGAACAAGUUACCCUAGGGAUAACAGCGCAAUCCUAUUUUAGAGUCCAUAUCGACAAUAGGGUUUACGACCUCGAUGUUGGAUCAGGACAUCCCGAUGGUGCAGCAGCUAUCAAAGGUUCGUUUGUUCAACGAUUAAAGUCCUACGUGAUCUGAGUUCAGACCGGAGCAAUCCAGGUCGGUUUCUAUCUAUUAAAUUAUUUCUCCCAGUACGAAAGGACAAGAGAAAUAGGGCCCACCUUAUCAAGGCGCCCUCAACUGCAAUAGAUGAUUUAAUCUCAAUCUAGACAGUUUACUCAAUCUUAAUACCCAUAGACACUAUGGGCUC